RNAcentral lists this long non-coding RNA (1065 nucleotides) under Mytilus galloprovincialis (Mediterranean mussel). Lineage: Eukaryota; Metazoa; Mollusca; Bivalvia; Mytilida; Mytilidae. The record is from RNAcentral.
AAUAUCUUUAACGGUAUUUGAAAAUAAGUGAAAAUAAGCCAAAAUCAAAAUUUAGAAUAUGACCUUGACCUUUGACCUUGACCUUAUUUUCAUUUUUUUGGACCAAGGAUCUCAAAUCAAAAGACCCUAGGUCUCUAUCACUUAUGGUUUACCAGUUAGAAAUGCAUAUCACUUAUAUCAAAUACAUAAGGGGAAAUAACUCUCAUAUGGAGUCUCCGGAUAGCUUCGGUCCAAAUGAAUAUCCUAAUCCUGAAGAUGUAACGAGCAAUUUGGUAAAAUAAAUUUGUCGUAAUCUUUUACGGUUGCGAAGGAGUAGUGGCCACAAGAAAAACAGUGUUUGGGGAGAUAACUCUUACAACGUAAAGUAUUUUGUUACGCGGUUGUAAAUUUUUAAAGCGUAUAAACUAUACGAUAUCAUAUUCCAAAUAUCUAAGCGACAUCUUUUGAAACAACAAUACUACGCAAGAAAAAAAUUAGGCGGAAGAAAAAAAAAAAAAUAUAAUAAUAAUUAAAAACCAAUUGUUCAGAGAACAAUUGAAGGUCUUUCCACUAGUAAAGAUCUAUUUUGAUAUUGAAAUAUGAAAAAUCAGUUUAAAAUGUUAGUUCCUAUGGCUUUAUGAUGUAUUUAUAUGAAUUUAAAGCAAAGGUCAAAAUCUAGAACGUCCUAUUAACCUAUGACCUUGACCUCAAUUUCAAGGUCACAAACCAAGGACCUUAAAUCAAAAGACCCUAGGUCUUUAAUAUGUUUGGUUAAUGAGUAAUAUCACUUUACGCGUAAUUCUAAAUGUAAGAUGGGCAAAAACUCCCAUUUAUUGUCUGCGCACCCUUUCAACCAAAAUAUACAAGUAAGGACAUGUCGCAACUAACAAUUUAUGAAAAAAUUAUUUGUCGAUAUGUCAUACGGUAUUUGAAAAUAAGUGAAAAUAAGCCAAAAUCAAAAUUUAGAAUAUGACCUUGACCUUUGACCUUGACCUUCAUUUUCAUUUUUUUGGACCAAGGACCUCAAAUCAAAGACCCUAGGUCUCUAUCACUUAUGGUUUACCAGUUAGAAAUGCAUAUCACUUA